Molecule: long non-coding RNA, 590 nt
Organism: Cyprinus carpio (common carp)
Lineage: Eukaryota; Metazoa; Chordata; Actinopteri; Cypriniformes; Cyprinidae
Exons: 4
Source: RefSeq, a predicted model, not a curated record
AUAAAUUGAGUAAAUUUCGCGGCUAAAGUGAUCACGUGUGCAGCUCCGCAGAAAACAAAGACAAUCUGCUUUCCUCAGCAACGACGUCGACUAGCCGUACUCCUCGCAACUCCUGUUUCGCGGCUUAAUCGAAGCCACCUGAAGGACGGCUUUCCUCAGCAACGGCAAGGCCCGCACUCCUCGCAUAUCCUGUUGAACAAGUUUCGCGGCUCAAGCAAGAGGCACCUGUCACUGAAGAACUGCUUUCCUCAGCAACGACGUGAACAGCAUUACUCGAAUAUCCUGAUUCAGCUGAUCUACCUGUCUUUGUACAAGCGGAGUUGGCAGAGGAGGUCAUAAAAAUCUACAUCCUUCGGGACAAUGAUGGGGCAGUCAGCGAUGUAGGAGUUGUGAUUGAGGACAUCACUGUCCUCAGCAAUCUCGGGAAUCUCAGCAGAGCCUGCUGCUAUCUUUUGGGACUCACGUACGCAUUGGAUUUGAGAUAUCCCAAGACCCACAAAUACUCACUUGAGGUUUACAAAAACUGUUUCUUGAGCUGGAUCCUUCAAGACUCUCUGUUAAGGUUCAGAGGUUAAAAAAAUAUCAUCUUG